UGCAGUCGAGCGGUAACAGAGAUAGCUUGCUAUCUGCUGACGAGCGGCGGACGGGUGAGUAAUUCUUGGGAAUAUGCCUUAUGGUGGGGGACAACAGUUGGAAACGACUGCUAAUACCGCAUAACGUCUACGGACCAAAGGGGGGGAUCUUCGGACCUCUCGCCAUUUGAUUAGCCCAAGUGAGAUUAGCUAGUUGGUGAGGUAAAGGCUCACCAAGGCGACGAUCUCUAGCUGGUUUGAGAGGAUGAUCAGCCACACUGGGACUGAGACACGGCCCAGACUCCUACGGGAGGCAGCAGUGGGGAAUAUUGCACAAUGGGGGGAACCCUGAUGCAGCCAUGCCGCGUGUGUGAAGAAGGCCUUCGGGUUGUAAAGCACUUUCAGUUGUGAGGAAAGGGUAUUGGUUAAUAGCCACUAUCUGUGACGUUAACAACAGAAGAAGCACCGGCUAACUUCGUGCCAGCAGCCGCGGUAAUACGAGGGGUGCAAGCGUUAAUCGGAAUUACUGGGCGUAAAGCGUACGUAGGCGGUUUGUUAAGCAAGAUGUGAAAGCCCAGGGCUCAACCUUGGAACUGCAUUUUGAACUGGCAAACUAGAGUACUGUAGAGGGUGGUGGAAUUUCCAGUGUAGCGGUGAAAUGCGUAGAGAUUGGAAGGAACAUCAGUGGCGAAGGCGGCCACCUG
Molecule: ribosomal RNA, 683 nt
Filed under: uncultured marine bacterium
Lineage: Bacteria
Description: bacterial SSU rRNA
Rfam family: Bacterial small subunit ribosomal RNA
Source: RNAcentral